CCCUUAGAUGUUCUGGGCCGCACGCGCGCUGCACUGAUGCAUUCAACGAGUUACCUUGGCCGAGAGGCCUGGGCAAUCUUUUGAACGUGCAUCGUGAUAGGGAUAGAUUAUUGCAAUUAUUAAUCUUGAACGAGGAAUUCCUAGUAAACGCAGUUCAUCAAACUGCAUUGAUUACGUCCCUGCCCUUUGUACACACCGCCCGUCGCACCUACCGAUUGGAUGGUCCGGUGAAGCCUCGGGAUUGUGGCCAGUGCCUUUUUGGUUUUGGUUGCGAGAACUUGUCUAAACCUUAUCAUCUAGAGGAAGGUGAAGUCGUAACA
RNAcentral lists this ribosomal RNA (320 nucleotides) under uncultured eukaryote. RNAcentral's name for it is "partial 18S ribosomal RNA". It matches the Rfam family "Eukaryotic small subunit ribosomal RNA", at positions 1470 to 1796 of the family's 1831-position model. The record is from RNAcentral.